RNAcentral lists this small RNA (665 nucleotides) under Cryptococcus neoformans H99. Its description in RNAcentral is "Cryptococcus neoformans var. grubii H99 hypothetical RNA". The record is from RNAcentral. Lineage: Eukaryota; Fungi; Basidiomycota; Tremellomycetes; Tremellales; Cryptococcaceae.
UCUAUAUUGUCUCUACGAAGUAACCAUAUGUUACCGCUUCUAUAUAUUGCCUCUCCAACUUAGUAUCAGCGUGACGCCGCGCACAAUCAUGCCCUCCCAUAUUUCUUCCACCAUCAACCCCCUGAACCACGACAUCUCCCUGUCUGGCUCGACCCCUCUUCCUAUCCGGCACAUUUGCCAUGUAUGCCACAAUGUUGACACACCUGCGCCCACAAGCGGUAUGCCUUUUCCCUUGGCGGUCGACGGGCCUCCGAGAAGGAAUUUGACGGCCUUUGAGUGAGGAAUAAUGUAUGAUAUGUCGAGGCAGAUCCGGAAUGAGACAGGCUGGUCUCCCAAUUCCGACCAUGUCACACGCUCUCUCCGCCAGUGAGGACGCUAUCAACUCUCUAUUAUGCAGCCCUCCCGUCAAGAGUAUAGCGGGACCUUGUGGGGGAGGUGGAAGUAGAGGUAAAAGGGACGUUGUGAAAUGGGAAAAGAGAGAUUGACGCUUGGAUGGAGACGACAGAGUUUCAGGAUAUGCGAAGGCUGGUUGGGCAUAUGUUCCUCCAGAUAUUUCAAUAAUGUCGAGUAGUUGCCAUGAUACAAUGGUCUUGAUCAAUUCUGACGCCUGAUCUUCGUCGAGACCUGAGAUGCUGUUAGCAUGAUGCAGCCUAGCUUGAGAACGC